GUGAACUCGAAGAGUAGGGCGGGACACGUGGUAUCCUGUCUGAAUAUGGGGGGACCAUCCUCCAAGGCUAAAUACUCCUGACUGACCGAUAGUGAACCAGUACCGUGAGGGAAAGGCGAAAAGAACCCCGGCGAGGGGAGUGAAAAAGAACCUGAAACCGUGUACGUACAAGCAGUGGGAGCACCUUCGGGUGUGACUGCGUACCUUUUGUAUAAUGGGUCAGCGACUUAUAUUCUGUAGCAAGGUUAACCGUAUAGGGGAGCCGCAGGGAAACCGAGUCUUAACUGGGCGUUAAGUUGCAGGGUAUAGACCCGAAACCCGGUGAUCUAGCCAUGGGCAGGUUGAAGGUUGGGUAACACUAACUGGAGGACCGAACCGACUAAUGUUGAAAAAUUAGCGGAUGACUUGUGGCUGGGGGUGAAAGGCCAAUCAAACCGGGAGAUAGCUGGUUCUCCCCGAAAGCUAUUUAGGUAGCGCCUCGUGAACUCAUCUUCGGGGGUAGAGCACUGUUUCGGCUAGGGGGUCAUCCCGACUUACCAACCCGAUGCAAACUACGAAUACCGAAGAAUGUUAUCACGGGAGACACACGGCGGGUGCUAACGUCCGUCGUGAAGAGGGAAACAACCCAGACCGCCAGCUAAGGUCCCAAAGUCAUGGUUAAGUGGGAAACGAUGUGGGAAGGCACAGACAGCCAGGAUGUUGGCUUAGAAGCAGCCAUCAUUUAAAGAAAGCGUAAUAGCUCACUGGUCGAGUCGGCCUGCGCGGAAGAUGUAACGGGGCUAAACCAUGCACCGAAGCUGCGGCAGCGACACUAUGUGUUGUUGGGUAGGGGAGCGUUCUGUAAGCCUGCGAAGGUGUGCUGUGAGGCAUGCUGGAGGUAUCAGAAGUGCGAAUGCUGACAUAAGUAACGAUAAAGCGGGUGAAAAGCCCGCUCGCCGGAAGACCAAGGGUUCCUGUCCAACGUUAAUCGGGGCAGGGUGAGUCGACCCCUAAGGCGAGGCCGAAAGGCGUAGUCGAUGGGAAACAGGUUAAUAUUCCUGUACUUGGUGUUACUGCGAAGGGGGGACGGAGAAGGCUAUGUUAGCCGGGCGACGGUUGUCCCGGUUUAAGCAUGUAGGCUGGUUAUCCAGGCAAAUCCGGAUAAUCAAGGCUGAGGUGUGAUGACGAGGCACUACGGUGCUGAAGUAACAAAUGCCCUGCUUCCAGGAAAAGCCUCUAAGCAUCAGGUAACAUCAAAUCGUACCCCAAACCGACACAGGUGGUCAGGUAGAGAAUACCAAGGCGCUUGAGAGAACUCGGGUGAAGGAACUAGGCAAAAUGGUGCCGUAACUUCGGGAGAAGGCACGCUGGUGUGUAGGUGAAGUCCCUGCGGAUGGAGCUGAGACCAGUCGAAGAUACCAGCUGGCUGCAACUGUUUAUUAAAAACACAGCACUGUGCAAACACGAAAGUGGACGUAUACGGUGUGACGCCUGCCCGGUGCCGGAAGGUUAAUUGAUGGGGUUAUCCGUAAGGAGAAGCUCUUGAUCGAAGCCCCGGUAAACGGCGGCCGUAACUAUAACGGUCCUAAGGUAGCGAAAUUCCUUGUCGGGUAAGUUCCGACCUGCACGAAUGGCGUAAUGAUGGCCAGGCUGUCUCCACCCGAGACUCAGUGAAAUUGAACUCGCUGUGAAGAUGCAGUGUACCCGCGGCAAGACGGAAAGACCCCGUGAACCUUUACUAUAGCUUGACACUGAACAUUGAGCCUUGAUGUGUAGGAUAGGUGGGAGGCUUUGAAGCGUGGACGCCAGUCUGCGUGGAGCCAACCUUGAAAUACCACCCUUUAAUGUUUGAUGUUCUAACGUUGGCCCCUGACCGGGGUUGCGGACAGUGUCUGGUGGGUAGUUUGACUGGGGCGGUCUCCUCCCAAAGCGUAACGGAGGAGCACGAAGGUUAGCUAAUCCUGGUCGGACAUCAGGAGGUUAGUGCAAUGGCAUAAGCUAGCUUGACUGCGAGCGUGACGGCGCGAGCAGGUGCGAAAGCAGGUCAUAGUGAUCCGGUGGUUCUGAAUGGAAGGGCCAUCGCUCAACGGAUAAAAGGUACUCCGGGGAUAACAGGCUGAUACCGCCCAAGAGUUCAUAUCGACGGCGGUGUUUGGCACCUCGAUGUCGGCUCAUCACAUCCUGGGGCUGAAGUAGGUCCCAAGGGUAUGGCUGUUCGCCAUUUAAAGUGGUACGCGAGCUGGGUUUAGAACGUCGUGAGACAGUUCGGUCCCUAUCUGCCGUGGGCGCUGGAGAAUUGAGGGGGGCUGCUCCUAGUACGAGAGGACCGGAGUGGACGCAUCACUGGUGUUCGGGUUGUCAUGCCAAUGGCACUGCCCGGUAGCUAAAUGCGGAAGAGAUAAGUGCUGAAAGCAUCUAAGCACGAAACUUGCCCCGAGAUGAGUUCUCCCUGAGACU
This 2436-nucleotide ribosomal RNA is filed under the name Klebsiella pneumoniae. Its description in RNAcentral is "23S ribosomal RNA". It matches the Rfam family "Bacterial large subunit ribosomal RNA", at positions 399 to 2822 of the family's 2925-position model. The record is from RNAcentral. Lineage: Bacteria; Pseudomonadati; Pseudomonadota; Gammaproteobacteria; Enterobacterales; Enterobacteriaceae.